This 566-nucleotide long non-coding RNA is filed under the name Equus asinus (donkey). RNAcentral's name for it is "lncRNA (ENSEASG00005026119.1)". The record is from RNAcentral. Lineage: Eukaryota; Metazoa; Chordata; Mammalia; Perissodactyla; Equidae.
AAUCCUAAGCAUGUGCAUAAAACUGAGAUCCUGUUGCUCAUAAAAACCAAUCAGCCCGCAGUUGGUCCACAAGGUGUUGAGCACUCGCUGGAGCAGAUGGGAAAGAUAAUGUUUAAUAAAGAGUUAGAGGAUUAGGUGGUACAAAACAAGCAAAGAGAAAGGGAUAAUUUGAUUUCAGGUGAACCUCUGUGACAUUUCUUGUACCCAGAGACAGAUUAAAAUGAUUCCAAAGCCAUGACUUUUGGCUCCUCUUCCCCAGGGCCGACCCGGCUGCAUACAUUGUCAGCUUUUGACUCUGCUGGCAUGACCAUCACCGGAAUCUGUGAAUAACACAGAAGAGAGUUUCUCAGGUUUAUGAAGAUGUAUGAAAAGUUAAAUGAAAAACGGAUUGCGGAUUACAGCCUAAGCGGGUUUGAGCCUGAAUUUAAUAUAACAACUUGUGGCAAAUGGAAGGAGCGGGAAGGUAGCGCCGACUAGUCCGAAGUCCUCUGGAGAGGGUCUACACUACGAAGAGUUCCAGAGAAGGAGAGCUAAUCCUAGGGGGAUCCAUUCCAUGUUCUUCCAAG